AGGCUGAAACUCGCCUACAUGAAGCUGGAAUUGCUAGUAAUCACAGGUCAGCAUACUGUGGUGAAUACGUUCCCGGGCCUUGUACACACCGCCCGUCACACCAUGAGAGUUGAGAAUACCCGAAGCCCAUGUCAAAGUGGUCGAAGGUAGGCUUGAUGAUUGGGGUGAAGUCGUAACAAGGUAGC
RNAcentral lists this ribosomal RNA (185 nucleotides) under uncultured bacterium. RNAcentral's name for it is "partial 16S ribosomal RNA". It matches the Rfam family "Bacterial small subunit ribosomal RNA", at positions 1302 to 1500 of the family's 1533-position model. The record is from RNAcentral.